RNAcentral lists this ribosomal RNA (632 nucleotides) under uncultured bacterium. RNAcentral's name for it is "bacterial SSU rRNA". It matches the Rfam family "Bacterial small subunit ribosomal RNA", at positions 52 to 678 of the family's 1533-position model. The record is from RNAcentral.
UACCAUGCAGUCGAGCGGAGAUGAGGUGCUUGCACCUUAUCUUAGCGGCGGACGGGUGAGUAAUGCUUAGGAAUCUGCCUAUUAGUGGGGGACAACAUUCCGAAAGGAAUGCUAAUACCGCAUACGUCCUACGGGAGAAAGCAGGGGAUCUUCGGACCUUGCGCUAAUAGAUGAGCCUAAGUCGGAUUAGCUAGUUGGUGGGGUAAAGGCCUACCAAGGCGACGAUCUGUAGCGGGUCUGAGAGGAUGAUCCGCCACACUGGGACUGAGACACGGCCCAGACUCCUACGGGAGGCAGCAGUGGGGAAUAUUGGACAAUGGGGGGAACCCUGAUCCAGCCAUGCCGCGUGUGUGAAGAAGGCCUUAUGGUUGUAAAGCACUUUAAGCGAGGAGGAGGCUACUGAGACUAAUACUCUUGGAUAGUGGACGUUACUCGCAGAAUAAGCACCGGCUAACUCUGUGCCAGCAGCCGCGGUAAUACAGAGGGUGCGAGCGUUAAUCGGAUUUACUGGGCGUAAAGCGUGCGUAGGCGGCUUUUUAAGUCGGAUGUGAAAUCCCCGAGCUUAACUUGGGAAUUGCAUUCGAUACUGGGAAGCUAGAGUAUGGGAGAGGAUGGUAGAAUUCCAGGUGUAG